AAUUUAGGACAGAGGGAGUAGCA
This 23-nucleotide microRNA is filed under the name Zea mays. RNAcentral's name for it is "microRNA miR-3144". The record is from RNAcentral. Lineage: Eukaryota; Viridiplantae; Streptophyta; Magnoliopsida; Poales; Poaceae.